AAUGUGUGUGUAUAUUUUUAAAUGUAGUUCUAAAUGGAGCACCUGGAUUUAUAAACUUGUGUGAUGCUUUGAAUGCCUGGCAGCUGGUGAAGGAACUCAAGGAAGCUUUAGGCAUUCCAGCUGCUGCCUCUUUCAAGCACGUCAGCCCAGCAGGUGCUGCUGUUGGAAUUCCACUUAGUGAAGACGAGGCCAAAGUGUGCAUGGUCUAUGACAUGUAUAAAACCCUUACACCCAUAUCAACUGCAUAUGCAAGAGCAAGAGGGGCCGAUAGGAUGUCUUCAUUUGGUGACUUUGUUGCAUUAUCUGAUGUAUGUGAUGUCCCUACUGCCAAAAUUCUCUCCAGAGAGGUUAGUGGACAUUUAUGUAUCCUGAUCCGAGUUUAAUGCAGUCAAGCUUUAUUUGUUCAU
Long non-coding RNA from Hipposideros armiger (great roundleaf bat), 407 nucleotides. RefSeq lists it as uncharacterized. The record is from RefSeq and is a predicted model, not a curated record. Lineage: Eukaryota; Metazoa; Chordata; Mammalia; Chiroptera; Hipposideridae. The transcript has 3 exons.